Molecule: long non-coding RNA, 68 nt
Organism: Etheostoma cragini (Arkansas darter)
Lineage: Eukaryota; Metazoa; Chordata; Actinopteri; Perciformes; Percidae
Exons: 3
Source: RefSeq, a predicted model, not a curated record
UUUUUUAAUUAUUUGACUUUAUCGGUUAUCAGGUAAAUAAAAUGCUGAUACAGAUAAUCUGCAAACUG